CUAUUUAGAAAAGACCUGUGAACAGCAACUGCUUACUGAUUACAUCUCUUUAAACCCCAAAUAGACAAAAUUAAGUGUCAUAAAGAAUAUUUAAGUGCGUAGAAUUGUAUACCUAUUGUUUGGAAUUUUAGAGGAUUUCAAAGGUCUUCAUCCUUAUACUUAAUUUUAGGCUAUUUGCUUUUGAGCUACUCCGGGAGAGGAGCAAAGAGUCGGUUUGAGUUGCAUGACUGACAUCUUCUGGCUACAGUGGAUAUUACAGAAAGACUGAAACUCCGCAAAGGUGUGUUUGAAAAAAAGAAAAGCACCCUGGAAUUUGGAUCAUUAAGCUAUGGAUAGUUUUCCUACAUGCUAUGUAAUGCUGGAGGGAAGACAAGUCCCAUCUCUGGCAGCCAGAUGUGGAGGUUACCAAUGAGGAGCCUGGCGAGGAGGUUUCACCAUAAGAGAAGGGCCUGCAUGGCCGACUUUGUGGGUUGCUGGAGAUGGUAGACUCAAGGAGGUCUAUUCAAGUGUGCAUUAUUAGAGUGCAUUUAAUAAGCCAGGAUUAUCUCCUAGAGUUGCAGAGCAAGACAAAGCAAGUAGAGUCGGUAUCUGGAGACCUUUUUGCAAAGAAGACCAGGCCAGACAGCUGGCAUACAAUGCUGCUGGAAUUCAAACUUUGAAAUGUCCCACUCUGAAGCUCAUAUUAGAACUAUUGGAUGAAGAAAUGCAUGAGAUGACUAAAAUUAUGUAAUGAACAUCUUGAGGAGGUCAAAAUUUUUUCAAGUCACUACAGCAAAAGAUGUUUUCUGCUAUUAAAUAAUGUCUUAUAUUCCUAUAACUAUUCUAGUUAAAUGUAUAAUUAUGUUCGUAUGUGUUAAUUAGCAUUUAUGAUCCAUGUUUACAGAGUGCACGCACUGUGUUAGACACUGUAUUAGAAGUAAGAGAUAUUGCAAUGAAUGCUCAGGGAAACUAAGUUCUAACAGGGGAAAUAAACAACACAAUAGCAGCUUUUGAUAAAUAUUAGGUGGAACAAUAUGAAACUGCCACGUUGGUUCAAUAUCAAAAUUUCAUCUGAUUUGACCUAACUGUCUAAAUAUUAAAGUAUUUUUUCAAGUGUCCCUACAGAAACUCAUGACAUACAUUUCUGUUAUUUGAAUAUUCUUAUACAUUGUUUUUUAUGGGAUUCGAUAUGCACUGAGUCUCUGCAGAGACUAGGCAGUUGAUGGAAGAAUAUACAGUAAAUCUGAUCAACUUCUUAAGAAUUACUUAACCUUUACUUUAGCUCUCUGAUAAACUCUCAGAAGACAUCUGGCAAUAUCUGAGGACAGUUUUGGUUGUCAUACUGGUACCUGUUGAGUAGAGAUCAGGUAUGCUGCUAAAAUCCUAAAAUACACAGGACAUUCCCCCAACAGGAAAGAGUUAUCCAGCUCAAAAUGUUAACAGUAACACACUUGGGAGAUCCUGCACUCAACACAAGAAGGGACCAGACAAAGUUAAUUAGGGAAAAAAAAAACAGUAAUAUAAGUAUACAUCCCAAAUCUUGGAGUUUAGCUUUCUCCAAACACCCAUUGUAUAUGUCUGUUGAGGUAAUCAUGGUGAAAAAUAUGGACAGGAGUAAAAGUUAGAAUGAAGCUUAAGAAAAGUCUUCAUCAACAUUUAAGUUAACUAAAAUAGGACAAUAAACUUGACACACUAAAUAAAUUUGUUAUCAAUGAUCUCUCAUAAGUCUCAAAUGAGUAAUAAUGGGUACUAUAGAAGUCCUGUAAUUUCUACUCAUCCUUCCUUGCUCACUGGAAAACUUAGAGGAUCUCCCUCCUCUGAAAUUUCUAGCAGAUGCUUAUAAAUUUGUUCUUUUUGUAAACAAUAUGUGCACUAUUUUAUUUUCUAUAUCUAGUAUUCUGUGUUUUUUUAAUUUUUUUUUUUUUUUUUUUUAGAGACAAGCUCUCUCUAGGCUAUAUCACUAGUCUCAACUUCCUGGGCUCCAGCCAUCGUCUCACCUCGGCCUCCCAAAGCAUCGGGAUUACAGGCAUGAGCCAUUUCUCCCAGCUUAUUUUUUUUAUUGUUGUGUUUGGGGGACUUUGAAUAUACAAUAAACUAAUCAGAGUUAUUGCAAACUGUUAUCAUUAAUUCAUGCCAGCCCUCAUUUUAUUUUACUUUAAUGUUUAUCAUCAUCUUUUAUCUAGACCUCGUUCUUUUUUUCCCACCAGCUAUACCAAUGUUUAAACAUCUGUGUCAAAAGAAUAAUAUGCAAUAUCAUUUUGUGUGUUUAAUUUGAAGAUACUUUAUUAUGCUUCUCAUUCUGCU
Molecule: long non-coding RNA, 2283 nt
Organism: Pan troglodytes (chimpanzee)
Lineage: Eukaryota; Metazoa; Chordata; Mammalia; Primates; Hominidae
Exons: 5
Source: RefSeq, a predicted model, not a curated record